UACGUAGGGGGCUAGCGUUGUCCGGAAUCAUUGGGCGUAAAGCGCGCGUAGGCGGCCCGGUAAGUCCGCUGUGAAAGUCGGGGGCUCAACCCUCGGAUGCCGGUGGAUACUGUCGGGCUCGAGUACGGAAGAGGCGAGUGGAAUUCCUGGUGUAGCGGUGAAAUGCGCAGAUAUCAGGAGGAACACCGAUUGCGAAGGCAGCUCGCUGGGACGUUACUGACGCUGAGACGCGAAAGCGUGGGGAGCAAACAGG
RNAcentral lists this ribosomal RNA (253 nucleotides) under uncultured bacterium. RNAcentral's name for it is "partial 16S ribosomal RNA". It matches the Rfam family "Bacterial small subunit ribosomal RNA", at positions 524 to 776 of the family's 1533-position model. The record is from RNAcentral.